ACGCUCGACACCUACGGGAGGCAGCAGUAGGAAUCUUCCACAAUGGACGCAAGUCUGAUGGAGCAACGCCGCGUGAGUGAAGAAGGUUUUCGGAUCGUAAAGCUCUGUUGUUGGUGAAGAAGGAUAGAGGUAGUAACUGGCCUUUAUUUGACGGUAUCAACCAGAAAGUCACGGCUAACUACGUGCCAACAGCCGCGGUAAUCUGAGCGGGCUGGCAAGGC
Molecule: ribosomal RNA, 221 nt
Filed under: uncultured bacterium
Lineage: Bacteria
Description: partial 16S ribosomal RNA
Rfam family: Bacterial small subunit ribosomal RNA
Source: RNAcentral